UGGCGAACGGGUGAGUAACACGUGGGCAACCUGCCCAAAAGAGGGGAUAACACUUGGAAACAGGUGCUAAUACCGCAUAACCAUAGUUACCGCAUGGUAACUAUGUAAAAGGUGGCUAUGCUACCGCUUUUGGAUGGGCCCGCGGCGCAUUAGCUAGUUGGUGGGGUAACGGCCCACCAAGGCGACGAUCAGUAGCCGGACUGAGAGGUUGGCCGGCCACAUUGGGACUGAGACACGGCCCAGACUCCUACGGAAGGCAGCAG
Molecule: ribosomal RNA, 263 nt
Filed under: uncultured bacterium
Lineage: Bacteria
Description: partial 16S ribosomal RNA
Rfam family: Bacterial small subunit ribosomal RNA
Source: RNAcentral